GGCUCUUUGAAUACGAAAUAUAAAGAGUCGGACCUGCCCAGUGAAAUAUUUUAACGGCCGCGGUACUCUGACCGUGCAAAGGUAGCAUAAUCAUUUGCCCUAUAAUUGGGGGCUGGUAUGAAUGGUUUGACAAGAGUAACCCUGUCUCUAUAUAAUUUUAUAAAAUUUAAUCUUCAGCUGAAGAAGCUUGAAUUUAAUUAAAAGACAAGAAGACCCUAUCGAGCUUAAAAGUAAUUAAAAGGUAAUAAGUAUAUUAAUAUAAUAUAACUUUUAAAAAUUUUGGUUGGGGCGACCUAGGAACAAAUAAAGCUUCUUUUAAUAAAAAAAUAUACACAUUUUGAUCCAAAAAUUUUGAUUAAAGAAAUUAGUUACCGUAGGGAUAACAGCAUAAUCUUUUUUGAGAGCUCUUAUCGAAAAAAAGGCUUGUGACCUCGAUGUUGGACCAAGAUAUCCUAAAGAUGCAACCGUCUUUAAAGGUUGGUCUGUUCGACCAUUAAAAUUUUACGUGAUCUGAGUUCAGACCG
Molecule: ribosomal RNA, 524 nt
Filed under: Capulus danieli
Lineage: Eukaryota; Metazoa; Mollusca; Gastropoda; Littorinimorpha; Capulidae
Description: partial large subunit ribosomal RNA
Rfam family: Bacterial large subunit ribosomal RNA
Source: RNAcentral